RNAcentral lists this long non-coding RNA (848 nucleotides) under Linum usitatissimum (flax). RNAcentral's name for it is "long non-coding RNA (LUSI_LNC003140)". Lineage: Eukaryota; Viridiplantae; Streptophyta; Magnoliopsida; Malpighiales; Linaceae. The record is from RNAcentral.
AUACAUUAAGGACUCAAAGACCAUACAAAGACUUUAAACAUGACAUCAACAUUCAGCAAUACAUGAGUUCUUUGUUAAAAAAAGUUGCUGGAAUUUUAUUAAAAAAAUGUGAAAAUAAUUAAAGUUCUCAAAACGAAUGAGCUACCUUCAUUCUACCAAAAUUGUUACACUUACCCUUGAUUGAAUAGCCAAGUUAUCAUCUCUUUUUUAACGUAUUGGCAACAAAAAAGGGUGAUAUACCCUUCUUUCUUUCUUAUACGCGUUGACUUUAAAGAAUUGAAAUAAUUUCAAAUUCUUAUUUUACUUUCGUUGAACUUCGUUUUCUCAUUCUUGUUCCUAGGUCGGCUUUCUCGAGCAAGUCGGCAGCGAAUUUCUUCACCUGGAAACGUAAAGAAGAGAAAAUCAGUUAAUUUUGAUUAAAAUAAGAUGUUAGAUCUUUUCACUUAGUGGGGGUCGUUUUCGGGGUUUUAGUCCUACCGGCGACGAUCCUCCGACUGGCGGCCUCAUCCUCUUCCACAGUUUUCCGAAAAAAAUAAAAGGAAAAUCAGGGAUAAAGGAGAAGAAAAUAUGUUAAUGAAAGAAUAAGACCUAAAACUUGUGGAUCGAGGCUUGAAUGUUGGCGGAGGACUCGCCGGUAGUGUCCUCCGACGACAUGCAAGUCUAGACUUAGUUUAAACCGAAAAUAAGAGAGGAAUAGAAAGAUAGGAGCGGCCACUGCGAAGAAGAGCAGAGAAGAGGAGAAGCGGAGUGGUGUUGGCACGCGAAGGAGAGCUGGCGGUAGCAUCAACACCAUCGCCAAUGAACGGGAGAUGAGAGGGGAUGGUAAAGAGAAAAGGAGAAGAGUCGAU